AACGAACGCUGGCGGCAGGCCUAACACAUGCAAGUCGAGCGAGCAUUUCGGUGCUAGCGGCGGACGGGUGAGUAACGCGUGGGAACGUGCCCUUUUCUGCGGAAUAGUCCUGGGAAACUGGGGGUAAUACCGCAUACGCCCUUUUGGGGAAAGAUUUAUUGGAGAAGGAUCGGCCCGCGUUGGAUUAGGUAGUUGGUGGGGUAAUGGCCCACCAAGCCGACGAUCCAUAGCUGGUUUGAGAGGAUGAUCAGCCACACUGGGACUGAGACACGGCCCAGACUCCUACGGGAGGCAGCAGUGGGGAAUCUUAGACAAUGGGGGCAACCCUGAUCUAGCCAUGCCGCGUGAGUGAUGAAGGCCUUAGGGUUGUAAAGCUCUUUCAGCUGGGAAGAUAAUGACGGUACCAGCAGAAGAAGCCCCGGCUAACUCCGUG
This 433-nucleotide ribosomal RNA is filed under the name uncultured bacterium. RNAcentral describes it as "partial 16S ribosomal RNA". It matches the Rfam family "Bacterial small subunit ribosomal RNA", at positions 29 to 507 of the family's 1533-position model. The record is from RNAcentral.